RNAcentral lists this ribosomal RNA (253 nucleotides) under uncultured bacterium. RNAcentral's name for it is "partial 16S ribosomal RNA". It matches the Rfam family "Bacterial small subunit ribosomal RNA", at positions 524 to 776 of the family's 1533-position model. The record is from RNAcentral.
UACGGAAGGGGCAAGCGUUGUUCGGAAUCAUUGGGCGUAAAGGGCGCGUAGGUGGUUCUGUGUGUCUACCGUGAAAGCGUACGGCUCAACCGUAUUGUGUCGGUAGAAACUGCAGGACUUGAGGCUGGGAGGGGCUGGUGGAAUUCCCUGUGUAGCGGUGAAAUGCGUAGAGAUGGGGGAGAACACUCGUGGCGAAGGCGGCCAGCUGGACCAGUUCUGACACUGAGGCGCGAUAGCGUGGGGAGCAAACAGG